CCUACGUGAGGCAGCAGUGGGGAAUAUUGCACAAUGGGGUAAACCCUGAUGCAGCGACGCCGCGUGAGUGAAGAAGUAAUUCUUUAUGUACAGCCCUAUCUGCAGGGAAGCAAAUGACGGUACCUGUGUAAGAAGCCCCGGCUAACUACGUGCCAGCAGCCGCGGUAAUACUUAGGGGGCAAGCGUUAUUCGGAUUUACUGGGUGUAAGGGAGCGUAUACGGCAGUGCAAGUCUGGAGUGAAGGUAUGGGGCUCAAACCCCGGACUGCUCUGGAAACUGUACGGCUGGAGUGCAGGAGAGGUAAGUGGAAUGCCUGGUGUAGCGGUGAAAUGCGUAGAUAUUAGGAGGAACACCAGUGGCGAAGGCGGCUUACUGGACUGUAACUGACGUUGAGGCUCGAAAGCGUGGGGAGCAAACAGGAUUAGAUACCCUUGUAGUC
Molecule: ribosomal RNA, 439 nt
Filed under: uncultured bacterium
Lineage: Bacteria
Description: partial 16S ribosomal RNA
Rfam family: Bacterial small subunit ribosomal RNA
Source: RNAcentral